UGCGGAAACCAGCAUUCAUUGGCAAAAGGAGACAUUUUGCAAAAGAAAGAAAGAAAGAAAGAAAAAAAAAAAAAACUCAGUGCAACAUCUUUUUCAAAUCCAGAGUUCUGGGGAGACAGGGGAAAGGCUGGUAAACAUCAUUACUUCGGCUUUAAGACUCAUUUGAACCGCCUCACGUACAAAAGCGCUCUGAAGGGGAAAACAAGACGUGCUCGCAGCUAACAUUACAGUCAAGUUCCAAUUUUACCUAAGGGAAAGCAGCUUUAUUAAAAGUCAUGACUGAAAUUGCAUGACAGGUGCCAAUAUUCUCCACCCUGACAGAUGGGUCAGUUUGCGAAUGCCAUUUUCUUGUCAGCAGUCCCUCGAUCGAGCUCCUUGCAUCACCAUUUGUCUCUCUUCCAGCGAGAUCACACAUGCCCGAUGUUUGCCUCCAAGCUGCGCUGCGUGGUUUGAUAUGUGGAAUCCUCACAAUGAGACUUAUUAAAAGACAGUCCAUUAUUUUUAUUUAGAGCAUUUCCAAAACAAGCGGAGCGCGCACAGAGAUAAUUUAAAAAUCGUGUGGCAGGUCAUCUCCAGGCCAGCGUGGCUCCAUUUGAAAUGCAUAAGAAAGUAGCAUCCCAUUUCGAUCCUUCCAGACACACACACACACGCAUACACACGUGCACACUUUCCAGUUCAUAACGGGCGUGAUUUGAGUGACAUUUAACCCUUGACAAAUAACCCCGACUGUGCAAAGCACUAUUUUGCUAUAAACCACAGAGCAUUUUGACAGGAAGGAUUGACUAAUCCUGCUCCCUUUUUUCUCUAAAUCUUUCUUCCUUCUCUUCCUUAUUUUUUGCUUCUUAUUUCUUUGCAUCCCUCUUCUAUUUUGUUACAGGUGGGCUUUCUCAUUGCAGCAAUAGAUAUAAAAUACUCCUGAUUGGCUGUAUUGAUGGGGCAUUUUCAUCCUCCUGGUGGUUUCAAACAAAUACAAAGAAAAAUGGUCUCUCUCCACCGUGCCUGGUUUGAACAGCAGGUAAACUCCAGCAGCCUCCUCUCCAGCCUCUGUUGGAAAAUUAUUACAGAUGAAACGAUUCCGUCAUGGAAAUGGUCACUUACAGAGCCCCCAGUGAACUGGAACUGCCCAGCGGUGACGAGCUUCAGAUCUUACCUGUACUUCCAUCUCUGACAGAACUGUUUUUCAUUUUCUUUUCAUUUUUUUUAACCAAAGAGUUUACAGGAACAAAUCCCCCUUAUUGU
Molecule: non-coding RNA, 1239 nt
Organism: Equus caballus (horse)
Lineage: Eukaryota; Metazoa; Chordata; Mammalia; Perissodactyla; Equidae
Source: RefSeq, a predicted model, not a curated record